RNAcentral lists this ribosomal RNA (447 nucleotides) under uncultured Streptococcus sp. Its description in RNAcentral is "bacterial SSU rRNA". It matches the Rfam family "Bacterial small subunit ribosomal RNA", at positions 933 to 1382 of the family's 1533-position model. The record is from RNAcentral. Lineage: Bacteria; Bacillati; Bacillota; Bacilli; Lactobacillales; Streptococcaceae.
UGGAGCAUGUGGUUUAAUUCGAAGCAACGCGAAGAACCUUACCAGGUCUUGACAUCCCGAUGCUAUUUCUAGAGAUGAAAGUUACUUCGGUACAUCGGUGACAGGUGGUGCAUGGUUGUCGUCAGCUCGUGUCGUGAGAUGUUGGGUUAAGUCCCGCAACGAGCGCAACCCCUAUUGUUAGUUGCCAUCAUUCAGUUGGGCACUCUAGCGAGACUGCCGGUAAUAAACCGGAGGAAGGUGGGAUGACGUCAAAUCAUCAUGCCCCUUAUGACCUGGGCUACACACGUGCUACAAUGGUUGGUACAACGAGUUGCGAGUCGGUGACGGCGAGCUAAUCUCUUAAAGCCAAUCUCAGUUCGGAUUGUAGGCUGCAACUCGCCUGCAUGAAGUUGGAGUUGCUAGUAACCGCGCGUCAGCUAUAGUGCGGUGAAUACGUUCCCGGGGCUU